UGACCUCGGAUCAGGUAGGGAUACCCGCUGAACUUAAGCUUAUCAAUAAGCGGAGA
This 56-nucleotide ribosomal RNA is filed under the name Lasallia papulosa. RNAcentral's name for it is "Umbilicaria papulosa partial 28S ribosomal RNA". Lineage: Eukaryota; Fungi; Ascomycota; Lecanoromycetes; Umbilicariales; Umbilicariaceae. The record is from RNAcentral.